UACGUAGGGUGCAAGCGUUGUUCGGAAUUACUGGGCGUAAAGGGCGCGUAGGCGGCCUUCUAAGUCGAACGUGAAAUCCCCGGGCUCAACCCGGGAACUGCGUCCGAGACUGGAAGGCUUGAAUCCGGGAGAGGGAUGCGGAAUUCCAGGUGUAGCGGUGAAAUGCGUAGAUAUCUGGAGGAACACCGGUGGCGAAGGCGGCAUCCUGGACCGGCAUUGACGCUGAGGCGCGAAAGCCAGGGGAGCAAACGGG
This 253-nucleotide ribosomal RNA is filed under the name uncultured bacterium. RNAcentral describes it as "partial 16S ribosomal RNA". It matches the Rfam family "Bacterial small subunit ribosomal RNA", at positions 524 to 776 of the family's 1533-position model. The record is from RNAcentral.